CCGACCUUAGCUCAGUUGGUAGAGCGGAGGACUGUAGUUUGAUUAAUCUAAAUUGGAAAUCCUUAGGUCGCUGGUUCGAAUCCGGCAGGUCGGA
This is a transfer RNA of Ipomoea nil (Japanese morning glory), 94 nucleotides long. It matches the Rfam family "tRNA". From Rfam's summary of the family: Transfer RNA (tRNA) molecules are approximately 80 nucleotides in length. Their secondary structure includes four short double-helical elements and three loops (D, anti-codon, and T loops). The record is from Rfam. NCBI's taxonomy places the organism in Eukaryota, Viridiplantae, Streptophyta, Magnoliopsida, Solanales, Convolvulaceae.